AAGAGAAUUGGUAAUUAGCUCCCCAAAUAAACAUAUCAGAUCGUGAUUAGUCUUUCUAUCGGUAGUUCCCUUCUCCGAUUCUUCACCGACUUCAUCAACCUCCUCCCUCUUUGUCGACCCCUCCUUCCUCCCUCUAACAACCACCCUACAUCUAUCAACAACCACCGCCUUCAUUGAAGAUUCUCCGAUGAUUGAUAGAUUUAACAUCGCGAUGGUUGCGUCAUUCUUCCCUCUCGAAGUUUCGUACCCUAAUAAAUCAGCCAGAGGUCCAAUCGCUCCGAACCUCCCGAUUCUCCUUCGCCUCUAAGCUUCCGGUCUCUGAGCCAGGUGACGACUCGAUGUUCGGAAGCAGCAACAUCGUCCGUUCAAUCCAGAGUCGUCACUUUCUCGCCUUCAGAUCUGGAUCCACAACCGAUCCAUAUUUCAUAGUCGUUAUCAUCAAUCGACAUGGAAUCCAAAAUCCUCCAAUGAUCUAGGCUUAAUUGUCGUUGAUCAUCAACAAUUCAUGCUUAAUUGUUGUACGAAUCGAUACUUUCUUCCAAGUUCAAACCCUGCACUUCUGUCGUCGACCAUCCACAAAUCGAUCUACCUUCCACCACUGGUCACCCAAAUCGACUCUCUUUUGUACCCAACCAAUCAUCAACAAUCCGGGGUCGACGUCCCACAAGCGGAGACGAGGCAGACGAUCGCCCCACCCCGACGUCACUUCUUCCAAGAAUCACUGCUUCAUCCUGGAUCUCCAUCGGCUUUUACGUUUUCAUCUAGAUAGAUCUUCAUCCAACACCUCAUCUCUCCAGCGACUGGAAACUUCCUUUGCAUCUCUUUGUUGUUUCGAUGGUCGUUACCACCGCUUAACCACCGACCAACUAUGCUAACCCCUUUUUCUCAUAAAGCUGGCUUCAAGUGUUCAACUUGGGCUAAAACCCUUCAGAAUCACCGAAUUUCUCCACCGCAUUUGUUUCUGGGUAUUUCCAUAUUGUUCAAUUCAAGCUCUCCGUUCGUCAAUCACAUAACCACUGCACUAACUGCACAACUGGUGGCACUCAAUAGCGGCGGUGCUAAUCAUCGGAGGGUGCAGCGACGGUGUUCUACCCUGCGGCUUCACUCUUGAGAGCUUUCAUCUUGACAACGCCUUAUGUUCCAACAAUCUACGAGAAUUUGUGUGAGAAAUCGGCGGAAAGACUUACGCACCUAACUUCUCACCACCAUCACCGACUUCAUAAUUACCCUAUUUAGUUCUUAAAAUCGACCCUGUGUGAGGAUUUCGAAUCAGGUUAUGUGAGGAGGAUGACUCAUCGUAUCCCAGGAAUACAAUUCGGUUAUAUGCACCCAGUUGGUUUUGAGAUUUCAAUGAUCCAAUUCCAACAUGAUUCAUAGCAACCAUCAACCCUCAGACAAUGAAAGACGGAACAGUGAUAUGAUGGAUUCUCCUUCUGGAAUUGAGAGAUAGAUUACUAACAUCCGACGGAGUUGAUGUAUUGAAUGACUAUCAUGAGAUGUAGAUAACAGCACAUUUUUGGGAACAAAAACAAAAAUGCGCCAAGUUGACACUCUCUUCUCUAUUUGAUAGUAAUCAUAUGAUUAAGUGCUUGAUGGGAAUAUGGGCCAAUUAUAAUCAUAUGAAUAAGGAAACUCUGGGAAUGCACUAGAUUGGAGGGAAGCUUUAUCACUGAAGAACGCCAUUGAAGAUCAUAUCACAAAAGACACACAAAGGGACACAUAAGUUACUAUGUAACUUGGAAAAAAGAAGAGGACCCUGAUGUGUUUACAAGCUACACAUUGCUGGGUGGUGUCAUUUCCUGAUAUACAUUUUCUGCUAAAUGGAAUUCUUAUCUUUAUCUUUUCAACCUAUAGUUGAAGGAUGCCUCCGCGUAGGAACCCAAGGCGAAACAACGGUGGGGAAGCACCUAUACCACCACCACCUCCACCUCCUCAAUUUGAUGCUGUCAUGUUCCAAGCAGCAGUCACCGCAGCGGUAGCAGCUGCCAUGUCAUAGAUCAAUAACUCGAGUACUACUGGCUCGGGAACUGGCACACACCUAUCCAACCAUGGCGAGAGUCAUGGGCAACCCUGAGAAUGCACCUAUAAGGACUUUACUAAUGCCAAACCCCGGAUGUUUUAUGGAACUGGUGGCGUGAUGACUCUGAGGCAGUGGAUCGAAAGGAUAGAAUCAGUCUUUGAAAUCUGCUCCUGUCCCGAGCACAGCAAAGUCAAGUUUGCAACCUUCACCCUUAUUGAUAGAGCUUUAGCUUGGUGGAAUGGCUACGUUAAGGUACUUACCCUGAUAGUGGCAAACUCCAUAAGCUGGGAGUGCUUAAAAGUCAUGUUGAUGAGAGAAUACUGUCCACAAUGAGAGAUUCAAAAACUCGAGCACGAACUCUGGCAAUCCUCUGUCCAGAUAUGAUUGCUCCUGAAAGCAAGAAAAUAGAGAGAUACAUUUGGGGACUGUCGCCCCAAAUUCGGUCAAGCGUGAUAGCUUCGAAACCUGACACUUUUGAAAGUGCCAAGGAACUGGCACAAUCUCUUGUUGACUACGGAGGCCAUCAGAACUCGACGGUUGCUACACCAGAACCACAAAAGGGAAACAACAACAACAACAACAACAACAAUAACAAGAAGAGGGUAUGGAAUAAUGUGACAACCCGAUAUUUCGAGUCAAUGUAAUGUAAAACCAAUCAAAUUUAGGUCAAAAUGUAACCUUCCAAAAAUCUUAUUCGGAUUAAAUAAAGUAGUAGGAAUCAUAUCAA
Molecule: long non-coding RNA, 2747 nt
Organism: Lactuca sativa (garden lettuce)
Lineage: Eukaryota; Viridiplantae; Streptophyta; Magnoliopsida; Asterales; Asteraceae
Source: RefSeq, a predicted model, not a curated record